Non-coding RNA from Acanthosepion pharaonis, 106 nucleotides. Lineage: Eukaryota; Metazoa; Mollusca; Cephalopoda; Sepiida; Sepiidae. The record is from the annotation of a GenBank genome assembly.
CCACAUCAUGUUGAAACACCUGUUCCCAUAUGAUCACCAGUUAAGCAACAUUGAGCCUGGUCAGUACCUAAAUGGGUGACUAUUUGGUAAUACCAGGUGCUGUAAG